UCAAUAAAGCCAAAAAUUAAGAUGUAUGUAUGUAUAUAUAUGUGUGUGUGUGUGUGUGUGCGUAUAUAUACACACACACACGCACACUACUGUUUUAAA
This 99-nucleotide microRNA precursor is filed under the name Otolemur garnettii (small-eared galago). RNAcentral's name for it is "miRNA (ENSOGAG00000033903.1)". The record is from RNAcentral. Lineage: Eukaryota; Metazoa; Chordata; Mammalia; Primates; Galagidae.